GCGCCCGUAGCUCAAUUGGAUAGAGCGUCUGACUACGAAUCAGGAGGUUGGGAGUUCGAAUCUUCCCGGGCGCGCCA
RNAcentral lists this transfer RNA (77 nucleotides) under Alphaproteobacteria bacterium. RNAcentral's name for it is "tRNA-Arg". It matches the Rfam family "tRNA". Rfam says of the family: Transfer RNA (tRNA) molecules are approximately 80 nucleotides in length. Lineage: Bacteria; Pseudomonadati; Pseudomonadota; Alphaproteobacteria. The record is from RNAcentral. RNAcentral also lists the same sequence under 1 other name.